Molecule: ribosomal RNA, 496 nt
Filed under: uncultured bacterium
Lineage: Bacteria
Description: bacterial SSU rRNA
Rfam family: Bacterial small subunit ribosomal RNA
Source: RNAcentral
AGUUUGAUCAUGGCUCAGGAUGAACGCUAGCGGCAGGCCUAACACAUGCAAGUCGAGGGGUAGAGUUCUUCGGGACUUGAGACCGGCGCACGGGUGCGUAACGCGUAUGCAAUCUACCUUAUACAGGGGAAUAGCCCAGAGAAAUUUGGAUUAAUGCCCCAUAGUGUUAUCGAAUCGCAUGGUUUGAUAACUAAAGUUCCAACGGUAUAAGAUGAGCAUGCGUCCCAUUAGUUAGUUGGUAAGGUAACGGCUUACCAAGACAAUGAUGGGUAGGGGUCCUGAGAGGGAGAUCCCCCACACUGGUACUGAGACACGGACCAGACUCCUACGGGAGGCAGCAGUGAGGAAUAUUGGACAAUGGGCGCAAGCCUGAUCCAGCCAUGCCGCGUGCAGGAAUAAGGUCCUAUGGAUUGUAAACUGCUUUUAUACAGGAAGAAACACACCCUCGUGAGGGUACUUGACGGUACUGUAUGAAUAAGGACCGGCUAACUCCGUG